UUGAAAGCUUUAUGCAUUGGUGAAGGGAUCUUCGGGAGCACAGGAAAUGAUGAUAAGAAGAGAUGCUGGGAAAUUCUCCAGAACUAGGAAACAGCCUGAAACAAGAAUAUAGACUAGAAGAGUCCUGGAUUCUGUGUCAGAAAGUCUCCAGUUGGACCAGUACCACCAUGGAUAGCUCAGAGCCCCUGCACAAGGUGGAUGAAGUUGCCCAGAUGCAUUCCAGAGCAAAUACCUCCUUCUCUUUAAGGUAUUGA
RNAcentral lists this long non-coding RNA (254 nucleotides) under Canis lupus familiaris (dog). RNAcentral describes it as "lncRNA (ENSCAFG00040015974.1)". Lineage: Eukaryota; Metazoa; Chordata; Mammalia; Carnivora; Canidae. The record is from RNAcentral.